Molecule: non-coding RNA, 33 nt
Filed under: unclassified sequences
Source: RNAcentral
GAGGCGUAACCCGAAAAGCCAUACGAGUAGGAA